Apus apus (common swift) is the source of this 3238-nucleotide long non-coding RNA. RefSeq lists it as uncharacterized. The record is from RefSeq and is a predicted model, not a curated record. The transcript has 5 exons. NCBI's taxonomy places the organism in Eukaryota, Metazoa, Chordata, Aves, Apodiformes, Apodidae.
AUUUGGUUGGUUGUGAGGUUGUUUUGUUGGUUUUGUUGGGUUUGGGUUUUGUUUGUUUUCUGGUUUGUGGAUUUUAUUUUUUCCUUGGGUUGGUUUUUUUUUUUGUUUGGUUGUGGUUGGGGUUUUUUUGGUGUUCAUUUGUUGGGGUUUUUUUGGUUGGUUUUGGAGGGUUCUCGGCAGCCCCAGGCUGGAAAAUUGAGUCUGGCUUUGAAAAAAAAUAUCAUAGAUCAUUUAGGUUGGAAGGGACCUUAAAAAUCAUCAGGUUCCAACCCCCUGCCAUGAGCAGGGACACCUCCCACUAGACCAGGUUGCACAAAACCUCAUCCAACCUGGCCUUAAAAACCUCCAGGGAUGAUGGGGCAUCAACAACCUCCCUGGGCAACCCAUCCCAGUUCCUCACCACCCUUAGAGUGAAGAAUUUCUUCCUAAUAUCUCACCUAAAUCUCCCCUCUCUCAGUUUAAAACCAUCACCCCUUGUCCUGUCACUAUCUGGUCCCAGCAAGGUUGAUGAGCUGGCUUCAGGAAAAGGCACAAGGGGAGGAGUUCAAAGCAGUUGCAGGAGGUUUUGCCUCUGAAAAGAAAAAUUUCAGGAGCCUUUGCCUCCAAAAAUAACAGUAUCCAGAGCUUUUGCUUCCAAAAUUUACAAUACCCAGAGCCUUUGCUUCCAAAAUUAAGAGUAUCCAGAGCUUUGGCUUCCGAAAUUAAUGGUAUCCCGAGCCUUUGCUUCCAAAACUAAUCAUAUCCAAAGCUUUUGCUUCCAAAAAGUAAGAGUAUCCAGAGCUUUUAUGAAGGGAUAAUCAACCCCCAAGUCCCCUCUGUGGCCCCAGGGGAAGUUGUUUCCUGGUCUAAGGGGGCUUCCCCAUCCCGUUGCAUCCCGAAAGGUGUCGAGCACCGACUGUCAUGAGGUUCCUUGAGUUGCCCCUGCAAAAUUCCUCUUUUCCUCUUGCAAAAUUCCUCUUUUCCUCUUGCAAAAUUCCUCUUUUCCUCUUGCAAAAUUCCUCUUUUCCUCUUGCCCUCACUAGGAAUGGUGGAAAAUCAGGAUUAUCCCUGGAAGUGCUUGAGUUUGUGCUUCCUACUGGGUCAUCCCCGGCACCAGCGACCAGUGCAGGAGGGACACCCUCUGCUACCUACAAUAACCCCAAAUUCCAUAUUUUUCUUUCCAAAAAAACCCCAAAAUAUCUUGCUUGACAGGAAAACCAAGAGAUUUGCCACAGAAAUUUGGAAUUUUAAAGGCUUUUCUCCCUUGGGAGGGUUGUUUUGGGGCACCCAACUGAAACCUCUGGGGACUUUCACCCUCCUGCUGCUCCAUAUCCCAACCCAAGGACUCAGUAUUCCCCCUUUUCUCCAUCCAGGAUAUUUCCCUCCUGCCUCUGCUAAUUUUUCAGGAUCAUUUUGGAACUUAUAAAUAAUUUCAGGAUCAUUUCCUGGAUUCCAGGACCAGCAGCACCUUCUCUCAGCCUGUAUUUUCCCCAUGGCAAAACCCCAUGCAAACCAUCCUGCCUGGAAAUCAUCCCCCUUGACAAGGAGGGGAAAAUAGGGAAUAUGUUUUUCUGGGUAAAAGGGGAUUUGGGGCAGAAAAAAGCUUGGCACGGGGUGGGAAAAACUGGGCAGGGUCACUUGAGGGUUUGUAAGUAGCUGGUGGUAGAAAUGGGAAAGGAAGAGGUUGGGAGAUGCUCAGCUGGUCACUUUUGCUCCCGUUCCACAUUCCUCUUGGGAUGUGCAUCCCUUGGGCCCGGUCAAGAAUCCACUUGAAAUAAUUGUCAGCAAUAUUUUGCCUUUAUCAUUUUGUUCUUCUUUUUCCUCUUCUUUUUUCCUCUUCUUUUGCCCCUCUCUCCAGUGCUCUCUCAAAGCUUCCAGGCCCCAUCCCACCCCCCACGUGGAUAAACAUUCCCAACGUGUGUUAUUUGGCAGUGGGGGUUUUAAUGCCAAGUGAUUAAAACCUUUUGAAAGUCAAAUUUUGGAUGGGGAGGCUGGAAAAUGUUCUCAGCCUCCCUAUUUUUUCCCCCCCAAUUCUCCCCAGUGCCCAAAAGCUCCAGCAAAAAAAUGCUGGAGGUUUCCAGGGCCAAAGAAAUGCAACAAGGAUGGGGAAAAAACCAGAGCAAAUAGGGUUGAAAUAGGAAUAGAAAUUUAAUGGGGAAAAAGCAGAGCAAAUAGGGUUGAAAUAGGAAUAGAAAUUUGAUGGAAAAGGGAGGGGAAGGAUGAAAGAAGGGAAGGAGAAGAGAGGAGAAUUCCAGAAUUGUUCUGGUUGGAAAAGACCUUUAAGAUCAUUGAGUCCAACUAUUAGGAAUGAGCAGGAGCUCUUGAAGAUGAAAAUGCAUUUAAAAAGUAAACCCAAAUUAAAAAUCACUUUGGAAAACAGUGCCUAAAUCCUUCCCACGUGAUUCCAUAGGGGAGAUUUUAGGAAAUCAAACCAUUUCUGCCGAAUUUCUUGCUGCUAAAAACCCAUAAACUUGCUUCAUGUUUUUUUUCCCCAGCAGCUCGAAGCUGGUCCUGCCUGUGGCUCCUGGGGCACCUCUGACAGCAGGUGAAAAUCGCGGCGUUUCAUGAGGUUGGGUGAAAAGAUUCUUAAUUUCUCCCCCUCGUUGCCAUGAAACCCAGAAACUUCAAACCUACCUGAGAGGAGCCUUGGGUCACCCAACCUGAUGUUCUGCUCAAUUUCUGGCUGGUGAAUCUUGGUGAAAGUUCACAGGGAAUUUCCCAGUCAUUAGGACACAAACCCAGGAGUGGGGGCUACAUGGGAGCAAAGACCAGACCCCCAAGAGCCAUGAGAUCUUGGCCAUGAUCUUGGCCAGAAGGACCCUCAGCAGAAGCUCCUCACCAUGGUUGAUCCCACCUGCACCCUCCUCCUCCUGCCAGCAGAGCCUGGAGCACAACGUAGAUCCUCACUGGCACCAGCUGGGGACACCACAGGGACACCAGCAUGGGGACACCAGCACUGGUUUUGGGGAUGGAUGGAGUUGGAGAGGACACCAGGAUGUCCCUGCAUCACCCCUGGUGGGACUCAGGUGAAGAAGAAGAGGCUGGAGGGGAAAAAACCAAAGAACGAGAAGAAAAGAGGAAAAAAAUCUCUCCAGCUGCAGGAAAUGGGUGUGAAUUGCUUCUGAAGGUCUACAAAAAUGAUCCAAUUGAUGUGGGUUUUUUGGGUUUUUUUGGGUUUUUUUUGACAGGCUGUUAGGUUGGGGUUGUUUGGUUUUUAAUUUCAAGUAUUCAUGGCCCAAAAAUCUAAUUGCCAGGGAAA